This 1049-nucleotide small RNA is filed under the name Geosmithia sp. CCF4223. RNAcentral describes it as "eukaryotic LSU rRNA". The stretch from base 455 to 1049 matches the Rfam family "Eukaryotic large subunit ribosomal RNA", at positions 1 to 608 of the family's 3401-position model. The record is from RNAcentral. Lineage: Eukaryota; Fungi; Ascomycota; Sordariomycetes; Hypocreales; Bionectriaceae.
ACCAGCGGAGGGAUCAUUACCGAGUUUUUCUACUCACCACUGUGAACGUUACCUGUUCUUCGGGUCUCAGGCCUAGGCUGCAGGACCCGAAAUAAACUACAACUUAGUAAAUUUCUGAGGAUUUAAAAAAAUAAAUCAAAACUUUCAGCAACGGAUCUCUUGGUUCUGGCAUCGAUGAAGAACGCAGCGAAAUGCGAUAAGUAAUGUGAAUUGCAGAAUUCAGUGAACCAUCGAAUCUUUGAACGCACAUUGCGCCCGCCAGCACUCUGGCGGGCAUGCCUGUCCGAGCGUCAUUCAACCCUCAGCAUAAGCUGGUGUUGGGGACGGCACAUGCUUCUGCACGCGCCCCCCCCCGAAAUCAAUCGGCGGUCUCGUCGCGACCUCUGCGUAGUACAAUCCUCGCAGCUGGAAGCGGCUCGGCCUGCCAAAAACUCUCGCAAGAGACACCUUAUGUUGACCUCGGAUCAGGUAGGACUACCCGCUGAACUUAAGCAUAUCAAUAAGCGGAGGAAAAGAAACCAACAGGGAUUGCCUCAGUAACGGCGAGUGAAGCGGCAACAGCUCAAAUUUGAAAUCUGGCCUCAGCCCGAGUUGUAAUUUGUAGAGGAUGCUUCUGGCGACGCGCCUUCCGAGUUCCCUGGAACGGGACGCCAAAGAGGGUGAGAGCCCCGUCCGGUCGUGCGCCUAGCCUCUGUGAAGCUCCUUCGACGAGUCGAGUAGUUUGGGAAUGCUGCUCUAAAUGGGAGGUAUACGUCUUCUAAAGCUAAAUAUCGGCCAGAGACCGAUAGCGCACAAGUAGAGUGAUCGAAAGAUGAAAAGCACUUUGAAAAGAGGGUUAAAUAGUACGUGAAAUUGCUGAAAGGGAAGCGCUCAUGACCAGACUUGGGCUCGGUGAAUCAGCCGGCGUUCUCGCCGGUGCACUUUGCCGGGCCCAGGCCAGCAUCAGUUCGCCGCGGGGGAUAAAGGCGUCGGGAACGUAGCUCCUCCGGGAGUGUUAUAGACCGGCGCGUAAUACCCUGGGGUGGACUGAGGUACGCGUCUGCAAGGAU